Electrophorus electricus (electric eel) is the source of this 1142-nucleotide non-coding RNA. The record is from RefSeq and is a predicted model, not a curated record. NCBI's taxonomy places the organism in Eukaryota, Metazoa, Chordata, Actinopteri, Gymnotiformes, Gymnotidae.
CCGCGUUGAGAUACCUCCCUUCAUGGGACCAGAGAUCUGACAAAUUCCUGCUUUAGCGUGCGCGAUAAACCAAACAUUAAGGCCAUCACCCAGGCAUACUAGCCUGUUUCGUUCAAUACUCAGCCAAGCGAGCAACCUGUUGAGGUGUCACUGGAGAAAGGGUGUAGGUCUAAUUAAAUUGUUUCAACUUGUCCAACGUGUUACGGCGCGGCUGGGAAACCAUACACUUUUGUCCAUACACUGAGGUCGAGGGAAUUUCAGUGUACUUGUAACUUGCAUUGCAGGUGAAGUCACAUAGCCAUGGUGCAGAUUUUGGCAUUGGCCUUUAUUACACUCAUGUCCAUUGCUUUGGCAGAGGACACUCAAAAUGCAGAGGAACAGCAAUUUACAUUUGAUUAUCAACAACUUCGUGUGGGAGGGCUCAUACUAGCAGCAGUCUUGUGUCUGAUUGGUGUCACUAUACUACUUAGUGGGCACUGCAGAUGCAAAAUCACCCGGAAAUAGAGGAAAGGACAGGAAGUAAUGCUGCUCAAUGACCCAGCAAGGGCCAAUGAAUGUUAAACCCUAAUCUGUGGCAGAGCUACUCUGCGUCUACCUGACUGAAGGGGGAGAGAGAACGGUGGAGAUACUGCAGUACCUUAUUACACCCCAGAGGUUGUAGUGUUAGUGUCUUUAAAAGAUACGAGUGUAUUCCCUAUCACCCAUUUGCUACCUACAUGGCUCCUCGUUUAGAAAUAGGACAUAUCACGUAGUAAGAUAACCUGCGUUUUUUGGGCUUUGCCCAAAUAUUUCUUUGAACCGACUUUUACCAAUACCACCUUAUGGCUAUAGGUGCGUCUUGCUUACCUUGCUUAAAAGAGAUUUGUCCCGAUUAUCAGUUUAAGCGAUACAGCCAAACUAUUAACCAGAAAGUAGAGCCGUUAUGUCAGUAGUUUCCUUCCUGUCAUGUUUAAAUUUAACAUUAAUGUAGACUACAGUGCUAUGUUACGCGUCUUAGAGGAAUCUAUGACAAAUACUAUAUACACCUAAUUGUAUUCACUCUAAAAAGCAUCUGUUUUAGCUUGUCUGUUAAUAUGGGUUCGUGCACUAUUUUCACGUUAUUUUCUAUUAUAUAAUAAAUUGUCAGAGACUAAAAGUCAAAA